UUCAUAUCAUUGGUAUCCCAUUCACUUUCUUGCUUGACCACUUCUCUACCAUCCACCAUCUUCAUUGAAAUUUGAGGAUUAAUUUACAAUGACCCUUUAAACCUCAUAGUCAUUGGCUUGAAUAAACAGUUUCAUCAUAGUUUUUCAAUAUAAGUAGUUGUCACCAACAUAAAAAGAAUGUUUUACAAUUGAAUGGCCUUCACUUUCAAGAGAUGUAGUAACCGUUUCAUUUAUCAUGAGAUACAUUUCUUAUUACCCACUAUAUUUGUUGUAGCUUGAAGAUGGUUGUUCCAUAUUGACCACCAUACCUCGUUGAGUCAUUUUAAGAUCACUGUUAGAUUGAUAAACCUACAAAAAAAAGAGUAUUAGCUUUGAUAUCAAUUGUUAGCUCAAAGACUUGGAUUAAAUCAAUAGGGGAUGAAUUGAUUGAUAAUAAGUUUUUGUAAAUUCAAUAUCCAACAAGCACAAAGAUCACAAAUUAGUUUUUCUAAGCAAGUAAAUAUAACAAAUAUGAGUACUAAUAAUCUUAAAAACAAUAGAUAGAGAUAAAAAAUCAAGCAUCGAAAUUUAUAGAGGUUCAGCCCUUCCUUUAGGGACCUAUAUCUUCUCCCUUAGCCUCACUUACCAGGGAGUUCAAUCCACUAUGUGUUGAAAGUUACAACCUAGCUCUUCAAAGCUCUGCACAAUUAACAACACAAUCUUUUAAGGGUUGUCCUCCUUCUUAAGCUUAUAACCUCACAUUACAAGUUUUUAAAGUAUUUUACAAACUCAAAGAAUCUCUCUAAGGUUGGGAUGUUUGCUAAUUUGAAGAACAAAUCAAGAUUAGAAAGAAUAUCAAGAAAAAAUCUGAUACAAUAAGAGUUUUUGCACUUUUUUCAUACUAAAAGGCUUUUUAAUGCUUGGUGAAAAUGGUAGAUGAAAGCAAUAAGUUUUCUUGGCUCUUGGUUGCUUCAAAUAUGGUGAGAGAUCUUCAUUUAUAUGGUGAGAAUGGAAGAUAGUCGUUGCUUGCAUUAAUUGUUUAGAGCCUCUUCAAAUUUUCAAACAAAAAUAAUUGUUGCAAGCAUUUUAGGCACGAGGGGAUCAAUCCUCUCUUAUGGGGGGAUCGAUUGGUUCAGUUAAAAUUCAAACAAUUUUAUGCAUGAAAAGGCACAACCAAUCGAUCCCUUUUUCAUGUGAUCAAUCCCUUAAUUUGGGUGAUCGAUCAUUUCUCAAAUUCAAAAAAAAAAAUUUCAUUCUUUGUAAAAAAACUAAUGGAUCUCUUCAUGAGGGGAUCGAUCCUGUCUUUAAAACCCUUAAAACAAUCAAUCCAUACAAGGAGGGGAUCAAUUGGUUUUCAUGAAAUUUGCAUGAAAAACCCUUUUGGCUAAAAAAUUCAAUCGAUCUCUUUGAGGGGAGAUUGAUCCUUUAUGUGCUACUUUGCUCAAUCUUAUUUUUAAAUCAUGCUAGAUGAAUGUGAACAUAUUUUUGACUAGAUUAAAAGCUAAAAAAGUAUUCAAAUUAAGUUCAAAUCAUUUUAAUUCAAUUUUAGCAAAUUUUUGUUCUGUCAUUUCAAAAUGUUUUAACAAUUCAAAGCUAACAAUGUCCUAUUUAGGAUUUUCUAACACAAAGGAAGACAUUGCACUAACCUAAGUUCGGACCCUUAGGGUUUAUUUACAUGUUAGGUUCAAAUAUUUGAUAAUCUAAAGGUUCCUAAAUUAUUUCUUAUAUCAUUAUCCUUUAUAGACUGUAGGGCAUCUCAAUGCUCACAUAUUAGGCUACAAGUAAAAAUGGUUCAAUUUAAGUUAAAAUAUAUUUAACUUACCAAAUAAUUUUAAUAUUGAAAAAUUUUCUUAAAUUACUCCAAUAUUUUGGUAAUAAUUUAAAAAUAUUUUCUCAUUUCAGAAGUAUUCAAAAAGACUAUUUGUUACGUUUUGAAAAAGCUUCAUCAUCUGAUUUCUUUAAUUUUACUUGUGAUAAUAAAUUCUAUAAACAUGAUUUAUUAUUAGAAAUAUCUUUUAAUAUGUUAGUAAGAUUUUUUGUCAAAAAUUAUUUUUUAAUAUGUUAGUAGGAGUUUAUGAAAAUUAUUUUUUAAUUUUUAAAAGAAAAAAAUCAAUUAAAAUAAACUAAAAUUAUCAUGAAAAAUUAUCAUGCAAAUGAUGCAAUAAUAUAAAUAUCAUGCAAUAAUAAUAUAAUCAUGCAAAUACUAAUAAAUAUAUUAAUAAUCAUGCAAUGAUCAUAAUCAUAUAAUAUAUCAUAUAAUAAAAAAAUCAUAUAAUAAUAUAAAAUAUCAUGCAAAAAAGUUUUAAAUUAAAGUUAUUUUCAUCUUUUUUUAAAUUAAUCACACAAUAAUAAAAUAAUAAAAAAUAAAAAAUAAAGGAAAAUAAAAAUAGAAAACAAAAUAAAUAAAGAUCAAACCUACAAGGUCAGGCCGGUUGCAAAUUGUUGCGUGGUUCACUUUCUAUUGGCUUUAAAGCUUUAAUUCUUUUAGCUACCAAAAAUGCUGUUGUUUGGAGCUCAGCAACAAAACACUUUUUCGCGUUGCUGUGUAGCUUCAUCUUUAUCCUUUCUGUAUAGUCAAACUUCCAAACCACUAUCUACCAGGCAAACAAGCCAGCUAAAACCUAAAACCAGCCAAACACUAGAUCUAAAUCCUAGCAGAUUAACACUGUCACCACCGCCUUCUCCUUUUCGUCAUCGAUCGAAACCCAGCUGCAACCCAGUCCUCUGCGAGACCUUGCCACUACUUAGUGUUGUCGUAGCUGACGCCAAAGACCAGAAGAGCAGCCUGGCUCAAUUCCUUUUUUUCCUCUUUCGACCCGAAAUCCAGCAAAAAAAUUUUUGCCCAAUUUUUGUUUCUUUGCAAUUUCUGGCUGUUAAUUGGGUUGUUUGUGAUGCCGAAUUGCUUGAAUGUUCACCUUCUGUUUGAUGAUUGUUUGAUCUUGCUUUUGUUUGUAGGUUGGCUAGAAAUUGAAUUCGGGUUUUCUGAAUUUGUGAAAUUUCUACUUGUGGUCAAUUUCAGUUUGGAGCUACUAGGUAUGGUUUGAAUUUCUGGGUAGGAAUUUCUCGAUUCUCUGGGUUCUGGUUAUCUGGGUUCUUGGGAAUCUGGUUUUUUGGGUUAAUUGAAUUUUAUUGUGUCGAUUGUCUGAGUUGAGGCUCACUGGGGAUUUUGAUUUUGGAGAAGUGUAUGGGCAAAGGUAGAUGAUGAGUGUGACUGGUAGCUGGUCUUCUUGCUUGUCCUCCUUUUGUUACCUCCAAAGACUUUGCUUGAAAUUGCUUCUUUGUCGCUGCUGUUGAUUGCUUCUUUUUUCUUCUAAAUCCCUUUUUGGAUUGCUGUUGACCUUUGUUUUGGCCUCUUCUGGAUUUUUUUUCUGCUUCUAUUGACUAUUUCUUCGAUUUAUUUUUGUCUCUAGCCUUUGUUUGUGACUCUGUUUGCUGGUUUCGGGUUUACUUGUUUUUUCAGUUUUCUUGGAUUUAUUGAUGAACCAAAGCUUCUAAGGUUUGAGGAUAGGUUUGUUUCAUGGAUUUUCUGUGUAUCCUUUUCCACUGUCCUACCGAUUGCCUUUCUGUUUAUAGGAAUUGAAUCCCAUUUAAUUUGGAAAGAAAAAUUACCCGAAUAAAUGUGAUUUGAUUUUUGUUGAUUUGAUUUUGCAUGAAUUAACCCCAGAAUCAUCAAAUUAUGAAUUCCCAAAUUUGGUCCAAGAUUUGUAUCCGUAAGUUUCUUUUUCACAAUAAUCCCAUUUUUUCUCUGAUUUCCUUUUUUUGCUUUUUU
Molecule: long non-coding RNA, 3748 nt
Filed under: Durio zibethinus
Lineage: Eukaryota; Viridiplantae; Streptophyta; Magnoliopsida; Malvales; Malvaceae
Description: long non-coding RNA (DZIB_LNC000443)
Source: RNAcentral